GGCCGCAAGGUUAAAACUCAAAUGAAUUGACGGGGGCCCGCACAAGCGGUGGAGCAUGUGGUUUAAUUCGAUGCAACGCGAAGAACCUUACCUGGUCUUGACAUCCACAGAACUUUCCAGAGAUGGAUUGGUGCCUUCGGGAACUGUGAGACAGGUGCUGCAUGGCUGUCGUCAGCUCGUGUUGUGAAAUGUUGGGUUAAGUCCCGCAACGAGCGCAACCCUUAUCCUUUGUUGCCAGCGGUUAGGCCGGGAACUCAAAGGAGACUGCCAGUGAUAAACUGGAGGAAGGUGGGGAUGACGUCAAGUCAUCAUGGCCCUUACGACCAGGGCUACACACGUGCUACAAUGGCGCAUACAAAGAGAAGCGACCUCGC
RNAcentral lists this ribosomal RNA (374 nucleotides) under Salmonella enterica subsp. enterica serovar Thompson. RNAcentral's name for it is "bacterial SSU rRNA". It matches the Rfam family "Bacterial small subunit ribosomal RNA", at positions 884 to 1258 of the family's 1533-position model. Lineage: Bacteria; Pseudomonadati; Pseudomonadota; Gammaproteobacteria; Enterobacterales; Enterobacteriaceae. The record is from RNAcentral.